Molecule: ribosomal RNA, 503 nt
Filed under: uncultured Lachnospiraceae bacterium
Lineage: Bacteria; Bacillati; Bacillota; Clostridia; Lachnospirales; Lachnospiraceae
Description: bacterial SSU rRNA
Rfam family: Bacterial small subunit ribosomal RNA
Source: RNAcentral
AGAGUUUGAUCCUGGCUCAGGAUGAACGCUGGCGGCGUGCUUAACACAUGCAAGUCGAACGGGGAUGCUUAUGGAAGGAGUGCUUGCACUUUGGAAAUGAGUAUCUUAGUGGCGGACGGGUGAGUAACGCGUGGGUAACCUGCCCCAUACCGGGGGAUACCACCUGGAAACAGGUGCUAAUACCGCAUAAGCGCACGGGAGCGCAUGCUCCUGCGUGAAAAACUCCGGUGGUAUGGGAUGGACCCGCGUCUGAUUAGCCAGUUGGCAGGGUAACGGCCUACCAAAGCGACGAUCAGUAGCCGGCCUGAGAGGGUGGACGGCCACAUUAGGACUGAGACACGGCCCAAACUCCUACGGGAGGCAGCAGUGGGGAAUAUUGCACAAUGGGGGAAACCCUGAUGCAGCGACGCCGCGUGAGUGAAGAAGUAUUUCGGUAUGUAAAGCUCUAUCAGCAGGAACGAGACAAGACGGUACCUGACUAAGAAGCCCCGGCUAACUACGUG